UUUCCGUAGGUGAACCUGCGGAAGGAUCAUUACCGAGCGAGAAUUCUCUGAAUUCAACCUCCCACCCGUGUUUAUUGUACCUUGUUGCUUCGGCGGGCCCGCCUCACGGCCGCCGGGGGGCAUCUGCCCCCGGGCCCGCGCCCGCCGAAGACACCUUGAACUCUGUAUGAAAAUUGCAGUCUGAGUCUAAAUAUAAAUUAUUUAAAACUUUCAACAACGGAUCUCUUGGUUCCGGCAUCGAUGAAGAACGCAGCGAAAUGCGAUACGUAAUGUGAAUUGCAGAAUUCAGUGAAUCAUCGAGUCUUUGAACGCACAUUGCGCCCCCUGGUAUUCCGGGGGGCAUGCCUGUCCGAGCGUCAUUGCUGCCCUCAAGCCCGGCUUGUGUGUUGGGUCUCGUCCCCCUUCCCGGGGGGACGGGCCCGAAAGGCAGCGGCGGCACCGCGUCCGGUCCUCGAGCGUAUGGGGCUUUGUCACCCGCUCUGUAGGCCCGGCCGGCGCUUGCCGAUCAACCAAAACUUUKUUCCAGGUUGACCUCGGAUCAGGUAGGGAUACCCGCUGAACUUAAGCAUAUCAAUA
RNAcentral lists this ribosomal RNA (576 nucleotides) under Penicillium sp. RNAcentral's name for it is "eukaryotic LSU rRNA". Lineage: Eukaryota; Fungi; Ascomycota; Eurotiomycetes; Eurotiales; Aspergillaceae. The record is from RNAcentral.